GAUGAACGCUAGCUACAGGCUUAACACAUGCAAGUCGAGGGGAAACGACAUUGAAGCUUGCUUCGCUCGUCGUCGACCGGCGCACGGGUGAGUAACGCGUAUCCAACCUGCCUCUGACCUAGGGAUAACCAGCCGAAAGUCGGCCUAAUACCUUAUGCAGUCGUCGGAAGUCAUCUGAUGACGACGAAGCAUUUCAUCGGUGAGUGAUGGGGUGGCGUCUGAUUAGCUUGUUGGCGGUGUAACGGCCCACCGAGGCAUCGAUCAGUAGGGGUUCUGAGGGGAACGGCCCUCACAUUGGAACUGAGACCAGGUCCAAACACAUACGGGAGGCAGCAGUGAGGAAGAUAGGAGUAUGGGAGAGAGCCUGAACCAGCCAAGUAGCGUGCAGGAAGACGGCCCUAUGGGUUGUAAACUGCUUUUAUGCGGGGAUAAAGUGAGGGACGUGUCCGUCAUUGCAGGUACCGCAUGAAUAAGGACCGGCUAAUUCCGUG
This 491-nucleotide ribosomal RNA is filed under the name uncultured bacterium. Its description in RNAcentral is "partial 16S ribosomal RNA". It matches the Rfam family "Bacterial small subunit ribosomal RNA", at positions 28 to 507 of the family's 1533-position model. The record is from RNAcentral.